Molecule: long non-coding RNA, 34839 nt
Filed under: Gossypium raimondii (Peruvian cotton)
Lineage: Eukaryota; Viridiplantae; Streptophyta; Magnoliopsida; Malvales; Malvaceae
Description: long non-coding RNA (GRAI_LNC007948)
Source: RNAcentral
GCAGCAGCAUUGGCAAUCCUCAAAUGGAAAGCCAGCCUUCAAAGCCAAAACCAUUCUGUUUUGCUUUACUUUGUUUACUUAUUGUUCAAGGUUAUCAUAGUCCUUAUCAAUAUUGGCAUUUUUACGUGUGGUAUCCAUCACCGACAAAAGGACAUCAUUUUACUAAAUCUUCACUUGCCUAUAGGUAAUGACCUCGCUCUGAUAUUUUAGGCAGAAACAUUGUCAUAGUCUACCAACUUCCUAAGUAGGAAUUUAAGCCUUUGUUUAGAUCAGGAUAUUUUAUUUUCUUGUUGGAACAAAAAACUAGAAGCAACUAUUGGGGGUAAGGCAAGACAAAACUUGAGUUCUAGUUCUCUAAAGGUGCUAGGAGCCUCGUACCCAUUUAAAACAACAAAUAGAGUAGACAUUUUCACACAAUGCAAAUCCGAUGCCUGAUUCAUCUACUCCAUACCUUAGCAUUACUCAAGUUUUAUACAGGAAGUUCCAGGCUCACUAUCAACUUCUUAGCGACAACAAGAGCAAACAAAAUGCUACGACAAGCAGUAUUGGCAGAUGAAAAAUCCGUCAAUUUACAAGGAUGGGAAUAAUUAAGAUGUGGUAGUGAUGUGAAGGGGGCACUAACCUUCAUUUAGAGCAAACCAAAUGUCAUGGCAAGCAGCAUUGGCAAAUGAAUAAUUAUAAUGUAGUAGUGAUAUAAAGGGGGCUCUAACCUUCAUUCAGAAAAACCAUAUACUAGAAAUAUCUUCGGGAUAUGGAACAGUGAUGGCAGAUUGAUGCUCUGCAGCUGCAUGAAUCCCUCCCUGCUCGUUGCACCAAAUAUUAAAUCUUAUGCACUCAAAACCCCUAUGGAGAUGGUUGACCCAACCCAAAAUAAGCUUGCCAUUGCCCAGACGAUACAGAGCGCUACCCAGUGGUGGAGCCACUGGAAAUUCUGAUGACCAUUUGACGGGCAAAUGUUUCUUAUCAAGCAAAUUAUACGCCUCCAAAGAACAUUUAUAAAUGAAAGUAUACAGCACAUCGUCCACGAUUGCCGCUGAGUCAAACCAGUAACAAAAUUUUUGUUCGAGGCAAACCCAUGAUUUACGAUCAUAGUAAUAAGCGUAAAGAGUAUCACUGGCAUCGCAGUGCACCAAAAUCCGAGAUCGGGAAGAAUCUAGAACAGGAACACAUACAACACGUAUAUCGAUAGCUUCCGGAGGGGGCGACAAUGGUUCCCAAAUAUCCCCACUUAUAUCGUAAACCUCGCCAAAAAUUCAGAACCCAUACAUUCGAAGACGUAAAUCUUUCCUUCAGCAGCAAGAACAUGGGGAAAAGACCGAGGGAACAACAUAGAAGUAGUUUUUCUCCACCCACGUUCAAGGUCCUUCAAAUCUAAUUGGAAAACAUCGUUUACAUCAUCAUAACCAAAAGGAGUAGCAUCAUUUUUGCGUAUUCCCCCAAUAACAUAAACGUGGUUGCCACAGGAAACGGCAGUGGAACUUGAAGGAGCAUCAGGUGGCAUCGCCUUAAUAAAGACUUUAUUGCUUUCCAGAUCAAUAAAGUGCAAACCGAGCGUUCUUUUACCAUCGGUACCCGGCCGUUUCUGGACGAGGGCCCUGAUCAGUUCAUCUGGCUCUCGCCCAUCAAAGUAACUGGAGGAAUCACUAGUAUCGCCGCUCAUGGUUCACCCUCAGCUUCGCCUUUCCAGAUCCAAAAUCGCUUUUAGUUUUAGGGUUUCUAGCUUGGGUUUUUUUUUUUUUUUUUAGUAUGGUUUGGGUUUAGUAGUCAUUGACAAAAAAGGAUUUAAAGUAAUAAAUUUGUUGACAAGUUAGUAAACGGUUGAUAUAUUUUUUUAAAAUAGUAAUUUGCUUGUCUCAGUUGUUAAUUUCCAAAGUAGAGAUAUUGUCAAUAUGUGACUAUUUGUAUUUUAAAAUUAUUUAUUAAUUAUGAUUAUUUUAGAAUCAAAGCUGCUAAUGGGGUAGUAAUUGCUACUAAGAAGAAAUUGCCUUCGAUCUUGGUUUAUCUAUUCAGAAAAUACAGUGUCUGACACAAGUGUUGAAGUUGUUUACAGUGCUGGGCAGGUAAUAGCAUUUUGGAUCAAGUGUAACAUAAAAUCUUUCUAAGCUCGGACAGAACUUCAGGAAGCAAAGUAAGGCAUUGAUUGGUUCUCUUUCCAUUGAACAAUCAAUCCACCAAAGCUCUUUUAAUUCGCUCAAAUAACAUUCAGGUCGCCUACUUGAGAAGACUAGAAUGAUUUCUUUUAUAGAGACCAUAACGAUAACAAGAAGGGAAAGGGAGUCUCAGUCUCAAAGACGGUGAGUUAUCUAUAUUCAAAUGCCUAUGCACAACCAUUUGUCUGUGCAUUACUAUUUAAAUAAAAAUACAGAGUUGAAAGUGAAAGAGCUUUCUUUACAAGGAGGUAUUGUUAGAGAUGAUCAAGGAAUAUCGUCAGUCUUACAUUGUUAGUUGUUUGCCAAACUUUCGCUUGAUUUUAGAUACACUAUCAUCUUUCAAUCUCUGGGAUAGCGUUUUUUUUAACCGCAUCACUUCACUUCUUGUAUGUGCUCAUUUUUUUUAAGACAUUGUCAUGAUGUGAGUUCUUUCUUUUUUAUGCUCGCCAUUUGUCCCCUUAGAAAUUUUCAUUUUUAGUUCUGGUAUCUUAGUUCUUGUUUUGGAACACUGAAUUCAUUGAAACACAAUCAAUUUUUGUUUCAAUUAUAGUUGGAACAGUGAGAUAUUCAUUUGUACACAUCUCCCACUUCAAGCCUCGUAUGAUAUUUUAUACUUGUUUAAGUUAGAGAAGAGUUGGUAUAAACUCUGAAAUGCUAUAGCUUGGGACCCAAAAGAGACAAAAGAGAAAAGCUUAUUGCCUGCGUGAAUGCCCAAAUAGAGAGGGAGAGUCUAUCAUACGUCAAGUAUAAAAAGUACCAACAACCAUUCACAAAGACUUAGAUGCAAGUCAACAAUGGUUUGAAAAAUGGGUGAGAGACUUAUGUUAUUGCAUUCUAUUCAUUUUUCCAGAUCUUCUGUUUCAAGUCUCAAAUGACAAUUUUAACUCUGUAAUAACAGAAAGGUUGAUCUAAAAUGCGAUUGCUUUGGACCCAAAAUAGAAAUGCGCUUUUAGCCUGUGUGAAUCCAAAGGGACAGUGUAUCAUACGUCAAGACUGAAAGGGGCAAAGGUCUCUUGACCUUGAAUGGGGCUAACAUAAAUUACUAUAAUACAAAGACUUCAACUUUGGAGUGAAAAAUGGGUGAGACUUUUAAUAGUUAGUUCCUAUAUAGAGGGAGAUAAAAGCUUAUUGCCUAUGUGAAUGUCCACAUCUCCAUUUUGUAGUCUUAUAUGACAGUUGUCUUCUUGACACUAAAUCGGCCAACAUAAAUUAUUAUAAUACAAAGACAUAAAACUAUGGAGUGAAAAAUGGGUGAAAGACUUAAUAGUUUUUUUAUUAGAGGGUUGAAAGACUUAAAAGUUAGUUUGAUCGUACAGGCUACUGCAAUUAACCUAUAUAUAACCUUCAUAUCAUGGCUGUUACUUGCAUGCAGAGCAUUUGUUACUCAUGAAGAGUUUAACCUUGCUUGCUCCCUUACUCUUGUGUGUUACUUUACUAUGUUCUUCUCUUAAUGUUGCUUCUGAUUCUGCAGCAGAAGCAUUGGCAAUCCUCAAAUGGAAAGCCAGCCUUCAAAGCCAAAACCAUUCUGUUUUGCUUUCCUGGAAUACUUCCAACGACCCAUAUACCAAAACAAGUCCUUGUGCUUGGUUUGGAAUCCAUUGCAACCAUGCUGACAGUGUUACAAAGAUUAACCUCACUGGCUAUGGUGUAAAAGGUACGCUCCAUUUAUUUCCAUUCUUGUCUUUGCCUAAUCUUGCAGAGUUGGACCUUAGCACCAAUGAACUUUAUGGCAUAAUCCCACCUAAAAUCAGUCAGCUCUCCAAACUCACCUACCUCGAUUUAUCCUUUAACCAGUUCUCUGGGAAAAUCCCACCUGAAAUUAGCCACCUUGUACAUCUUCAGACCCUCCACCUUGCUGGAAAUCAGUUGAACGGCUCAAUUCCUCGAGAAAUUGGUCAGCUCAAAUUUCUCACUGGCCUUGCCUAGUGUAGCAACAAGCUAAAUGGUUGCAUUCCUGCUUCUCUCGGUAAACUAAGUCGACUUGUUUCCUUGCUUCUCUAUAAUAAUUCCCUUUCUGGUCCCAUUCCUCCAGAAUUGGGAAACCUAAGGAAUUUGGUUGAAGUUGACUUGGACACCAACCGUCAAACUGGUCCCAUCCCUUCCACAUUUGGAAACUUGAAAAAACUGACGGUCCUUCAUAUGUUUAGCAAUAGUCUUUCAGGUCCCAUCCCCUCUGAGUUAGGGAAUAUGGAAUCGCUUUCUGAAAUAAGCCUUUAUCACAACAAUCUAUCUGGCUUGAUCCCAACCUCAUUUGGUGACUUGAGACAUCUUACACUUGCCCGCCUUUAUGGGAAUCAACUCUCUGGUCCAAUUCCUGUGGAGAUAGGAAACUUGAAUUCUCUUGUUGACCUGGAGUUGAGUGAAAACCAACUCAAUGGCUCUAUUCCUGCUUCACUUGGAAAUCUGAGCAACUUGGAAAUUCUGUUCCUCCGAGACAACCUGCUCUCAGGCUCCAUUCCUAAUGAAAUUGGAAACUUGAUGAAGUUGAGCAUGUUAGAACUAGACCACAACAAUCUGACAGGAAAUUUGCCGCAAGGAAUUUACCGUGGUGGAUCACUUGAAUACUUCACAGCAAAUGACAACCAGCUUACCGGACCAAUCCCUCAAGGGUUGAAAAAUUGCACUAGAUUGAAGAGAGUCUACCUUGAAAGAAAUCGACUCAAAGGAAAUCUAUCUGAAGAUUUAGGCGUUUACCCGAAUCUAAAAUUCAGUGAAUUAAGUGACAAUGAAUUUUAUGGUGAAGUGUCUUCCAAUUGGGGGUUGUGCAAGCCUAUGGAGCCUAUCUAUUGCAAGGAACAAUCUCAGUGGUAAAAUACCAGCUGAGAUUGGAAACUCACGUCAGAUACAAAGGCUUGAUCUCUCGUCAAACCAUUUAGUCGGGGAGAUUCCAAAGGAAAUUGCAAAGUUGACUUCUUUGCUUGAUCUUCGUUUGAAUGGGAAUCAACUUUCUGGUAGUGUACCCUUGGAACUAGGACUUAUGUCCAAGCUUUUGUAUCUAGAUUUGUCUGCAAACCAAUUGAGCAAGUCCAUCCCUGAAACUAUAGGGAAUCUGUUCAUGUCAUUCUACUUGAAUUUGAGCAUCAAUCAGUUUAGCCAAAGAAUUCCAAUUCAAGUAGGCAAGUUAACUAGGCUGGUUCAACUAGAUUUGAGUCACAACAUGCUUUCAGGGGAGAUUCCAGGGGAAUUUCAAAGUUUGCAGAGCUUGGAGACACUAAACCUUUCUCACAAUAAUCUCUCUGGUGAAAUACCAGCCUCUUUGGAGAAGCUCCGAGGCUUGUACACUGUUGACAUUUCAUAUAAUGAACUCCAGGGUCCCAUUCCCAACUGCCAAGCAUUCUAAAUGCUUCAGUACAAGAAUUGGGACGGAACAAAGGAUUAUGUGGCAAUGCUAGAGGCUUACCGCCUUGCACACCUUUUUCUAAGAAGGGUCACAACAACAACAAAACCGUUUUAGUAGUUAUGUUCUCUCUUUUAUCGGUUUCUUGUCUCUUGAAUUCAUCAAUUGCUUUGUUGUUUGCCUUCAAGAGGAAGAAAGAUACAGAUGAAGAAAGACAAAGCAAUGCAAGUGAUGAAAUAUUUUUCUCUGUAACUCCCUUUAAUGGAAGAAUAUUGUAUAAAGAGAUCACUAGAACCACCAAAGAGUUUGAUGCUAAAUAUUGCAUUGGGAAGGGAGGAUAUGGAAACGUAUACAAAGCAGAGCUGUCAUCAGGAGAUGUUGUAGCUGUGAAGAAAUUCCAUCCGUUGCAUACCGGUGAAAUGGCAGAUCAGAGACAGUUCCUAAAUGAGGUAAGGGCAUUAGUAGAAACAAGACACAGAAAUAUCGUGAAGUUCUACGGUUUUUGUUCCUCUGCAGGUCAUUCCUUCUUAGUAUACAAGUACCUUGAAAGGGGUAGCUUGGCUUCAGUUCUCAGUAAGAAUGAAGAAUCUAAGAAAUUGGACUGGAACAAGAGGGUGAACAUUGUCAAAGGUGUUGUUAAUGCCCUCUCCUAUUUGCACCAUGACUGUUCACCGCCCAUUGUUCAUCGAGAUAUAACAAGCAACAACAUUUUGCUUGAUUUGGAGUAUGAAGCUCACCUUUCAGACUUUGGCACUGCUAAGCUUCUCAAUCCAGACUCAUCCAAUUGGAGUAAUAUUGCUGGAACAUACGGAUACAUAGCACCAGGUGAUUUUUCAUUUUACUUCCAUAGAUGACAUAGCAUAGAGGAUAAUAUUUGUUAUCAACUAUUAUUUCUUUUUCUUUGCAGAGCUUUCCUACACCAUGCAAGUUACUGAAAAAUGUGAUGUGUUUAGCUUUGGAGUGCUGGCAUUGGAAUUGAUAGUUGGGGCAUAUCCGGGUGAAUUUCUCUCUAAUCUAUCAAUUUUAACAGCAGAAAGCAUUCCACUAAACAAUGUGUUAGAUCAAAGUCUUUCGCCUCCACCACCAGAAGUUGUGAACAAACUCAUAUUCAUCCUGAAGCUGGCUGUUUCAUGUUUAAAUAUCAAUCCAAAAUCUAGGCCAACCAUGCACACUGUUUCUCAGCUGGUGUUCGACCACAUCUAGUCCCAUCUAGGACUCUUUGAUCUUCAUCUAAGAUACCACCUUAGAAACGUUUGGUAUUUGCUCUAAUGUUGUUUCUUUAGCUGUUGUGUAGUUAUAAUGGGUUAAUGGAUUAGCAUUUUUGUACCCUCAAUUACCUUUUUCCUUGAGAAUUGCUACUAGCUUGUUGGUAGCGCAACAAGAGUUGUUUCCGAUAUUUGUCUGUGACAGUUUAUCAUAAAUUGUAUUCUAGUAUCAUCUUUUCAAAGGUUUCAUCCUCUAAUAUUGAUUGGGUCCUUCAAAGAGCUAAGCCUUUCGAAGCUUUCAACACCCUCCCUAUUGCUAUUAAUCCAAGUCGUAUUGUCUCAUAUUAGUCCUACAUCAAUUAAAGGAUUCGCUAAUCCAUUUAUUAAUGCUCUCAAAUUUUAAUGUCUUCCCCAUUCUUUCUCUAAAGGGCCAUACCUAUAUCAACUAUCACUUGUAUUUCAUGAAGUGAUUUUCUUUUAAUUGAAUCUACUUGACCAGCCUCCAUUAAUCCUACCUUGAAUUAACUUAAAUGUAGAACUCAAAGGAUGGAAGAGUAUGUUCUUUGAAAACCUACCUCGCUUUCUUCAAUUGUAAUACCCAACCCAAAAUAAAAUCUAAUUAUCUUUUUAGGAUUUUAUUUUAUUUUACUAAAGCCUACUAUGAAAAAAAAUUGCAAUAGGUGGAUUAAAAAGAAAGAUGAGAGAAAAAACAUAAGAGAACAAAAAUUGGGGAAAAUGAAGGAGGAUGGAAAUUGAAGUUCUAGCCAUAAAUUCCCUGUUUUGAUUGUUUAAAGAAAUAUUUAUUAGAUUGCUACAAUUUGAUGGAAUUAGUUGAAAGAAAAUUGAUUAGUGAAUUGACUUUGUAAAAUUAUUAGGUUUUAUUUUAUCACCUAUUAAGAGAUAUAAGUAUGAUUUUUAUUAGACUGAAGGGUUAGUAGAUUAAUCAUAGCUUCCAACACAUCAAUACUUAAUAAACUAAUUUGCACAUUCAAGCCUAUAUAAUCAAGCAUAUAUAGUUAAUAAUCCAAAAAAGUAAAAUUCAACCAUGUUAACAUUAUAAGCUAAACUAUUAAAAUACUGAACUUUUUUAAGUUACAAGCCCAUCAACCUAGUUACAUGCUAUAAGACUCAAAACAUUUAUAUAUAUACAAAAUUGCAACGAAAUGAUUUGAGUUGAGCUGAAGAAAAUGAAUGCUUAAUCUCGAAUUUACUAAAGCCUCUGUCUGAGAUCUGCGCACAAAAACAAAUAUAACCGUACGCUAAAUAAUAUAUACUCAAUUAUACUAAUAUGAUUUGAAUUCAAUUAUAAACGUAAUAACAUUGAAUAAACAAAUAAGUAAAAAGAUUAAAUAUAUUAUUCAUUAGCCAUUUCAAUAUCAACAUUAAUAUGCAUAUACCUAUAAACCACUAUUCCUUUAGAAGAUUCAUAAUCAUUUAUCAUUCCAACAUGUUCAUACUUGCUUACAAAUCACAUUAUCUUCAAGGUAUUUGCAUUUAUUUUUACCAUAUCAAUUUCAUAUAUCAUAUUUCCAUUAUUAUCAAAUUUUACUAUACAAAUGUUUAACAAAUAAUUUCACAUUUUAGCCUCUAUUAACAUAAUCGAACUCAAAAACGGAUAUUCGGAUAAAUCCACCAACACACCAGUAUAUGCACCGAAGUGCUGACCAUACAUAAAUUCACCAAUUCUACCAAUCACACCAGAAUACGCUCAUACUCUCAAAGAAAUUUGAGCUGACGAUGACAAUUUGUUCUCGACCCUCAAGAAAUUAGAGAAUUAUAGCAAUAGACCCUAUGACAUGCCAACUAUACCCGUGACUCUAUCCAACAACGUUAAUAGAGAAAUUUCAUAAUUAAAGACAUAUCAUCAAGAAAGCAUAUACAUAUAUAAUCAAUUUACCAAAUGAUCGCAAAACACAUAGUUUGGCAUAUACGUACCUUUAAAAUACAAUCUCAUUGAUAGUUUACCAUUUUUGAAUAUUUUACGAGUUGAACAUAUUCAUAUAACUAUUUAAUGAACUCAAAUUAUGAGAGUACAAAUUAGAUUAUCUAUUUGUCAAUGCCAUUGGCUUUCCCUUUGCCUUUCGAUGUCCCAGUGUCGUCUUUAGCUAUGUACGAAAAAAUCGAAUACGGGAAAUUAAUCCAUUAUACAAUUCAGACAUAAAAGCAUGAUGAUACAAGCCCUUAUAUUCGAAACACUCGUACCUCACAAUUCACCGAAUCAAAUUUAAAUAUGACUAACAAAUAUAGUACAAGAACUUCCUACAACCAUUUUUUAUUAUCAAACCUCAAGUUUUCAUCCCUUACAAUUAAGUCAUUAAUAACACAUAAAUUAUCAAUUUUCUAAGUUUGAUUCAAGCUUAAUUUAACACUUUUUACUAAAAUUUUAACAUAUUCUACUAUGAUCUUAAUUUAUAUCAACAUGCAUGAAAUUAAAUCUUUAACCUCAAAUAUUCUCAAGUUUUUCCAUCAACGGAAAACCAUAUCAAAGCUCACUAAUUCACUAGAUUAACUAAUGGGUUCGCUAUUAACAAAAAUCCUAUUGAAAUUCAAAGAAAACAACUCGCUAAUGCUUGAUGCAAGGUGCAGCAAUGGUGGCUUGAUGAAGAAUUCUUUCUUUUGUUUGUUUGUCUUAGCCGAUUAAGGAAGAAGAGAACUGAAUUUUCUCUUUCAUCCGACUACUUUCAUAUUUAUAUGCAUAAUUAGCAUAACGCUUGACAUAAUUAUUUCACUAAUCCAUGGGUUAAUCGACCCAUAAUAUUAGUUUGUGGAAAACGAUUGAUAUGGCUUUUACUUAAAUAUUAACAUGAAUUAACAAUGAUUUUAUUACUACUAAAGUCCUCGACAUAAUUAUACUCAAGCCCCUUAAAUAUAUAUUUUUAAUUCCCCAAUUAAAACCACUUUUCAGUUUAGUCCAUGUACUAUAAUUAUCAAUUGACCCAAGUUACUUCCGCUAAACGAUUCACACCUAAAUGGACUAUACCAAUUUCUAGUGACUUGUUUUAAGAAAUUUAACCCUAAAAUUGAAUUUAUCGAUGUCGAUAAAAUUAAGAAUCGUUACAAUUUACUGUUGUCAUAAUCUCCCUUUUUUGACAAAGAUGUCAAAGAGACUUCUUCUCACCAUAUGAUCUUCUUUAAAUCAAUCCAGCAAAGUGCAUAAACAUCCAAUAAAGUAAUAAGGUUUAAGAACAAAAUCAAACACAACCACAAUUAGCUUCAAGUAUGCAUAGUUCAGAUAUAGGACCUACUCUGUCAAACUUCUUAUUUUAUUCAACAUUAUUAAUUUCUUAUCCAAAAUUUAGGUAAAUUUCAUUAUAAAUGUCACAACUGAAUUAAUCCAUAAAUGGAUUUAAAAAUAUUUUAAUUCGGGUCCUGUUUAAUGUAUUGUAAUCUAUGCAAUCUCAUCUAUGUCUUUAUUUAUAAUAGUCAAGAGAAGUUAUGUCCCCAAUUAGAAUUAUAGAGGACAUAAUAAUCCUAACAUGAGUCAUUUCCUCUUUCUGAUGACUAUGCAUCAUUUAAAUGAACUAAUAAUAUAAGUUUCUCUUGCAUUAUAAUCAAUUCCUGUAAUGCAAAUUAAUAUUAAUUAAAUCUUAGAUAAUCAGUGAUUUAAUAUUUGUUUCUUCAUCUUAUUUUUCAUGCAAAAACUGUUGAGAAUAAAAUACAAAAAAAUAUUAAAUAGUCAUGUUAAAAGUUUAUUAGUUCAAAAUAAUUAAAAAUAUUACAAGUAAAUUGCGGUGAAAUAAUUGGGCUAAGGGCACAAUUUCUAACAAAAAGUACAUUCUUAGGUUGGAAUAAAGCUCCCUUAUAUUUUCCUUUAACAUAUUAAAGGAUAGCUUAUGCAAUACAACAACUAAGUUUUUCAUAACAAAUUCUGUUGGAAAAAUUGAUUAAGAAAAUUGAGCCAUUUUGUUAUUUAUGACAAUAAAUUUAUUGACCGAAGUAGUACAUGUACUUUGUACGAGGCGAUUAAGUCGAUCCUGACUUUUAACCGAACUACCUUCUUCACUAUCCUUAAAUUAUAAAUUGCCUCGAGCGUAGGCUUGAGCAACACAAAUCAAAUCUCUAAAUGAAAACUUUUAAUUAACCUUCAGUAGGUAAGUUUAUUUCUCUCUUUCACUAGUAACAAUACAUUUUUCCUAGAAAAUAGAAUUUAUUCCUGUUAAAUAUUUUUUUACUAUUUUCUCGCAGAAUAACCAAAUUAUAUGAUGUGUGUAUAAAUUGUAUAACUAGCAUUUCUUAUUUAUAAAGAAAAUGUAUAAAAUUUCUAUUUGAAUAAUAUCUAAUUAAAUAAUAAUAUUUUAAUAAAAAUAACUAUAGUAUGGGGGUGGCGACAACCUUAGUAAAACACUAGGGGCACGUUUGGUUCGCUGUAAUGGAAUAGAUGCGUAAUGGAAUAGAGGCGUAAUAGUAUUCUUGUGUUUGGUUGAAUGGAAUACAGGUGUAAUAGCAUAAGGGAAAAAACUAAAAUGACUAGAUCAUACCCUUAGCAGAAUUUUUUUUAAGUUGAGGAUUAUUGUUUUGUUAUAAAAUUUUAAUAAGAUUAUUAAUAUAAAUAAUAAAUAUUUUAAUCAUAUUUUAACAUUAUUAUUAUUAAAUAUAAUUUAAUAAAAAAUAUAUAAUUUAAUAAAAUUCUUAAUAUAAUUAUUCUUAUAUGAAUUUACUAAAAUCAUAAUAUAUAAUACUAUAAAAUAUAAUUUAACAUAAUUAUUAUGAAAUAUAAUUUAAAAAAUAUAUAUAAUUUAAUAAAAUUCUUAAUAUUAAAUAUUCUUAUAUGAAUUUACUAAAAUCAUAAUAUAUAAUACUAUAAAAUAUAAUUUAAAAUAAUUAUUAUUAAAUAUAAUUUAAUAAAAAUAUAUAAUUUAAUCUAAAGUUUGAAUGUGUAUUUACCUAGCAAAAAUCAACGAACUCUCAUGUAACUAUAACCUAAUAAUAUAUGAUGUAUAAUUAAUAUUUCGUGACUAAUUAAUAGCAUAGAGAUAAAUAUAGUAUACGAUUAAAAUGCUAAUAAUUUAUAGUAUACAAUUAAAAUAUUAUAAAUAAAAUAGUAGUAAAUGAUAUAUAAGAUAAAUUAACAUAUAAAUAAUUCAUAUAUUUAGAAGGAAUAAAGAUAAAUUUAGUGUGAUAAAAUACAACAUUACUUUGAAAUCAAGGUUGCGAAUUAGUUUUCGUGCAAGCUUUUCCAAAUGCUAUAUUAAUGAUAUUGAACAAGUAGUAAUGUAAAGCUCUUUUCUUAUAUCCUUCAAAUACUUCAACUGAUUUCUCCAUUUAUCAGCAAAAUAAAAGCCAUCCUGAUCAGCAAAACAACUUCCAAAUAUAGCAUUUGAUCCUGUCAUCCUCAUAAACAAACAAGUCAACCCCCUAUCACAAGCCUCAGUUCCCAAUAGGCAAUAGGAGAAAAACAAGAUUCCAGUGGCAACAUAAUUCCAAAAUAUAUAAACAUGCAUUUAAAAAUUUUUAGAUCAAACAUCAAAUUUACUGGCAAUGCUGCAACAAAACUGCUUCACCGCUUCAAAGUUGUUAUCGUCAAGGGAGAAAUUGCUCAGUCUAUUAACCAUGGCAUCCUCAGUAACUUGAUCAAAUUGGUACCUAUUCCUGAACAACAAGUAACUCCCACAUUCCCAGGCUGAGAUGGCAUGAGAGGCUGCACAAGUUUUCUGUUGGAUGGAUUAAAAUUAAUCCAUCAGUAAGUUUUCAACAAUAUUGAAUCCUCCAAUUUGACAUCAAUUUUGAUAAAACAAACCUACCACAAUCUAGAUUGUAAUGUUCUGAAAUUAAAGAUGACAAAAUCAUACAUUCAUAAGGCUUUUCUGUUUUACAUUUUCUGUCUCCUUGUUCUUCAUAAAUGAUGAUUGUCUACAUAUAAAGCUCUACAGAUGCUGCAAUACCCUAUCAUCUUAAAAUUAACUACUAUAAUUUGAUGUGACAACCAGUAAGCCUGUCCAGUUAAUGAUAUCAAAACUUUGCUUUCCUGCUAGUAUUGCAGAUCCCAUGAUAGGUAAAUAUAUUAUGUUCUUAAAUAACUAAUAAAAAUUUGACACACGUCCGUAUACUGCCACAUCACUAGUGUAAUUUUCCUCCCUAUUUAGACUAUAACCCAUCACAUGGCAUUAUAUUGACAAGUGAUGUUUUUAGUGGGUAAUACUAAUAUUGAACAUAUUUGCUUCACUCAUCAUUUUGCACAUCCCAUUUACUCUGUUGGUCCAAGUACGAUGUUUUCUAAAAAUACUUAAUAAAAAUGUACAGGUCCAUACUUCUCAACUAAAGAACAGUUUAUUGUAGGUUCUUUUAAACGAAAUAACUUGUGAGCAGAAAACAAGCUUAUUUUCACGAUGGAAUUAUACAAAAUGUUCAUACAUCAAAAGAUCAUGUCUACUAACCUCAAACCGAUAACUCAAACAACAAUUUGUUCAGUCAUGACUUGCUUUAGCCAUAUGGAUUAUGGAUUGUCAACUAUGACUUCACUGCCUGCUUUAUGUAUCUUAGAGCAGACCGCAACAUUGCCCUAGCUUUCCUAUCAGGAGUGCAACCAGACAAAAUCAUCUCUUCAUAUACAGCUGGGACCUUAAUCGAAACCACACAGAGUAUCUUUAAAUAACAAAACAUGGAUGUUACAAUUGAAAAUAGAUGAUGCAUGCAAUGCAUCACGUUAAGAGCAACUGAUGUAGAAGCAGAAUUGAUCAGACCAAUACCACAAAUCUGUUUGAUCUUUCAACGUUUUUUAGUGGACAGGAAAACUAGAAUAAAUGUUGCUAUAUGCUACAGAAGAGAGGGGAGGGGUGAGGGAUUGUCAGAUCUCGGUAAGAUGCAAGUUUAUAGUUGUUUCAGUAGAUGGUGACUUACAACCGAGAUUCAAAUCUCCAGUAACUAUAAUCAAAUGACUCAACAUAGUCAUAUAGGGAAAAAGAAUACAAAAACAGCAAAAAGCAAAGCUAGCAUGCAACUGAUCCAAAUGGCUAUCUAUACAAAGGCACAGAAAAUAUUAUUUGUGAUGCAAAAAAGCAAAGGGCUAUUAUCUCGUUCUCAUAACAGGAAGGACACGUUAUACCUUAUGAAACUUGUCAACACGGAUAAGAGCUUUCAUAAGUAUGGUAUAUGUGACAACGUCUGGUUUCACACCCUGUAUAUAAAUUGAACUAGAUAAUAGUGUCAUAAUUAUGACCUAAAAGAAUAGUACCAAUAACUUCAAGGCAAGCAAACGAAGGUAACAGGGUACUCACGUUUGAAUAUGCAGUAGCAGCCUGUAGAAGAACAUUCAUUCUGCCAUCAAUUCUAACAACGAAAAGAUAAUUAAUAGCAGUUUGUCAGUUUGCCCUUCCAAUAGAGGUGAUCAAGUGCAAUUUAGCAAAUAAAACUGUUUAUAGUGAUAUUCAUAACCCCAUUUCAAAACCAGAGGUCACAAUACAAACAAACUCACACAUACAAUAACAUGCAAAGCCUGAGAAAAUUAACAAGAGAAUACCAUAGAUAUCCUGCUGAGGUUCUGCAUCAGUAUAGCUGCAGCUAAACCUACAUCCGGCUAAGACAAGUCAACAGUUUCAGAAAAACAUUUACCUCUAGGCUUGGGUUCAACCAUAAAUUUAAUUUUUUUUUAAAAAUUUGUAACAAUAUGAAUCUAGUAGAUAGCCAUUUAAAAUGUUUCAGCUAUAUCCGAUAGCUCUUUGGUUCAUAAAAGAAAUUCCUAAGCUACCUCAAAGAACAAAGACUUGCAAUCAGAAACUAUGAGGCUUCACAGAAUAAACUUUCUCGGAUACAUCACAGAAUCAUACUUCACCUCAAGAAUUAUUUUUCAUGGAACAGAAAUAUACAAAGUUAUACGCAACAAGUAAUAGAACCACAUUGAAAAAGUUUUCAUAUGUUCAAUCGAACAUGCAAUAGAAUCAGUCAAAGAAAAGCCGAAUGAAAAUCAUAAGAAAGGAAUCAAAAUUAGGAGAACAAAAAACAAAUAUUCCAGAUUUGAGUAAAAGCAAAACUAACCUGUAAAAUAAACAGGGAACCAGCUACCUGCUAAAAUAAUGAAGGUAACGACCUGUCACUCAAAACUGAAGAGUUAGAAAAUGGAAAAAAGAAAAACGAAAUCGAUUUUACAGAAAAGAAAAGAAAAGAAAAACAGGUAAAGAGUGCGAGCAUUUUUCGUUGUUAGAAGAAGAAGAAACAGAAAUCGAUGGAAGAAGAAGCAGAAAUUACCUGUGCAAUAUCGAUGGAAGAAGCAGAAAUCGAUGAGGGUAGAAUAUGGAAUAGAAAAUAAGAAACGGUAAGGAAUCCCUAAUCGGCGCUCAGCGUGGGGAAUGCCUAUUACGGGCAACCAAACGCCCGUUUGGUGGUGGGCCCGCAUAUUAGGGGGAAUGCACUCCUAUUCCCCCAACCAAACAUAGUGUAGGGUUUGCUGCCACUUACAUGGUAUAAGGCCAAGUUGGGUUUUUUUUUUAUUGAGUCUAAUUUUAUGUGUUUCUUACACUUUAAUCCAACAUUUAUAAUUUAUCCAACCUAAAGUCUAAUUUUUAAAAUAUUAAUUAAUUAAUUUUUCAAUUAAAUUAUUUUUUAAACUUAAUUCUAAUUCUAUAGAAGUCAUUUCAACUUUAUCAUAUCAAAAUUUAUGAGAAACUAUAUUUAAUUGCUCUAUUCAACAAAUUUACGAUGAUUAAUUAAUUUAAUUCAUACUUCAAACUCUAAUAUUUUAUUUGUAAUUAAAUAAAUAAUAAUUCGAAGAAAUCAAAUUAAUUCCUAUGUCUUUUUUGUACUUAGCAAGAAAACGCAUUCAUUGUAGAUAGUGAUGCAUGCGAUCUAUUUUUCUUACUUCAUCAUUUUCAUUCAUUCCAUAUUAUUGGUUCUGCAUGCAAUUCGUUUCUGGUUAUCUCGAGCUAGGGAGGGACUGAUUGAACAUAUAUAAUUAGGCUCAAAUAAUUUGUAAUUAAAUUCCAAAUUUUCACCUAUUAACUAUAACAUUAUUCAGUGAAGAAGUCAUUCUACUAAAGUAUCAUGAUUAAGCUCUCCCGUAUUAUAUACCAUUAUGAAAGUCACUCAUUGAGUGCUCGUCCAAUGACCUUGUUAUAAGUGUGUUAAACUUAUAGAAUAUUCUCAAUCUCUUUGGGAUAAAUCAAUUCUCCCAGUAUAAUCAUAUUUUAUCUCACGGUAAGUAUUACAUCUUCUUUUAUGAAAAGUUAAUUACUAACAAAUAGUAAUUAAAUCAUUUCUCACAAAUACAAAUGACUCAUGACCACACUAGUUUUCAUCUAUCAUGUAAUGUCGAUGAGAGAAUAUCAUUUCCUCUUUAAUUGGGCUAUAAAUUUCACUGUUGUGAAAUGAUGCUACAUACUGCAGAAGUUGUAUACCCGACGCACCAGCUUUCAGUUUCUUACCUAUUUGAACUCAAACUUUCACUUACAUAAAAUUAUACGAGUCAUGCAUACAUAGCUCAUCAUCCACUCAAGAUUGAGGUAGGCCACACUAUGAAAGUUACAAGUAAAUAGAUUCAUAAACAGAUUUAGGAUUUAUUUUACUUGGGUCCUAUAUGAUGUAUUGUCAAUCCAAUCAGUCACAUCCAUGUAUGUAUCUUUUAGGAUUUAAUUCGCUUCGAUAUCUAAUACAAUGUAUCUCCUCAAUUGAACUUGAUAAAUGUUAUAUUAGUCCUUUAAUUGAUUUACUCAAUUUCAAUUAGACUAAGGAUAUGUUUAGAUUAUCUACUAAUAUAAGCUAUCUUUCCGCAUUGCAAUCCUACCACACAAUGUUGCUUAAUAUUAGUUAAAUAUUAGAUAAUCAGUAAACUAAUAUUUGCUUUCAUUAUGCUUUGUGUGCAAAAAUCAUUGAGGAGAAUAUACAAAAGAUACUAAUAAUACUGAUGCAUAUUUAUUUAAACCAUUGAUAUAUUCAAAAAAUUACAAGUACAUAGUUGAAAAUACUACACUGAAGACACUAGAUCCCAACACAUUCAUGCUAACAUGUUUUAAAUUUCUAUGCCAUAACCAAUAUGCCUCUUCACUAUUUGUCAUAAAACAAGAAUGAAAAGAAUCUAAAACAUCUAGAUGCACCACAUAAAUAUUACUUAACCUAUGACCUACAAAAAUAAUCCCAUUAGACUCUAAAUUUACAACUUUUGAAUGAGGUUUGAAGGAUAUUUUUCUUGAGAAAUUUAGCAAAAAAAAAACACAUUUUUAAUAUGGGUGAAAGUACUUUUACCCAAAUAUGACAGAUAUGCAAUUACAAGUAAAUGCACUCUAAUCUAAUUAUUAGGUAACUUUUCAAACACACCCCUUAAAAUAUAAUCCAUCUUUAUUAAAACUAAAUAAAUUUUGUAUCUCAAGUAUAUCAUUAAGCUUUUGAUGCCCAGAAAGUUAGAAAUUGAAGUAUGCAAAUUCAUAUUCUUUUUGUUCAAAUUAUAAAUUUGAACUUACAUAUCAUUUACUUUUGUUUCAAAAUCACUUUUUUGCUUUGGUUAAUGAUUCAUUUUCUCCUUUCACCUUUGAAUUCAUUUUUGGGUGAUUGUGUAGUUUAACUCUUAAAUAUGUCUAAAAAUAUAUAGUUUGUAUUUCUUUUUUUUCUUUUUUUUCUUUUUUUUUUAUAUAAGUGGUAUCUAAACUUAUAUUCCAUUAUACACUUUAAUACUUCUAUUUUGAUACUGUUAAUUUGUGAUGACGACACACAAGCAACCAAUUAUAUGGUGACACCCAUUUGUGAGGAACUGCAUUUCAAGAUUAACCUUUAGCAGCUAUGGUCUAGAAGCUACAGUUCCAUUCUUGUCUUUGCCCAAGCUUGAACAGUUAGACCUUGGUAUAAAUUAGAUGAAAUUUUUGUAAUACUCCUUUUUUAAAUUAAUCAACUCAUGAACUCACCAACAUUGAUUUGUCACUAUACUCAAUCCUAAGCUUUUUUUAGUAAUACUCACCCUAGAAUUUUCAUUAACACUUAAAAACUAAUGAUUUGUUUCAUUUACCAAAAAGAGGAAAAGAAAAACUAUAAAUGAUUUAGGUAUAAUCUUCAUUUACAAAAAGUAGAUGGAUUGAUAUCAACUAAAUGGAGCUUACAUGUAUUUUUUACUGCAUUACUACUUAAAUAAAAAUACAGAGUUGAAAGUUACAAGGUGGUAUUGUUGGAGAUGAUUAAGGAAUCAUCAGUCUUACAUUGUUUAGUUGUUUGUCAAACUUUGGCUUGAUUUUGGAUACGCUAUCAUCUUUCAAUCUUUGGGCUAGUGUUGUUUUUAACCGCAUCACUUCACUUCUCUUCCGACUUCCCGUCUUGAGUGUGCUCCUUUCUUUUUUAUUGCGUGGUCACGUUUUGAGUUUCUUUCGUUUUCUGCUCGCAAGAUGUUCGUCAUUUAUCCUCUUAGAAAUUUUCUUUUUUAAUUCUGGUAUCUUAGUUCUUGUUUUGGAACCCUGAAUUCAUUGAAACAUUAUCAAUUUUUGUUUCAGUUAUAGUUAGAACAGUGAAAUAUUCAUUUGCACACAUCUCCCACUUCGAGCCUCGUAUGAUAUUUUAUACUCGUUUAAAUUACAGGAGGGUUGGUAUAAACUCUGAAAUGCUAUUGCUUGGGACCCAAAGAAGACAAAAGAGAAAAGCGUAUUGCCUGUGUGAAUGCCCAAAAUAAAUAUGGAGAGUCUAUGAUAAGCCAACUAUAAAAGAUACCAACGACCAUUAACAAAGACUUAGAUACAAGUCGACACUGGUUUGAGAAAUGGGUGAGACUUAUGUUACUACAUUGUAUUCAUUUUUCGACAUCUUCUGUUUCAAGUCUCAUGUGACAAUUUAACUCUGUAAUAGCAGAAAGCUUUGUCUGAAAUGCGAUUGCCUUGGACCCAAAAUAGAAAGACGCUUUUAGCCUGUGUGAAUCAAAACGGACAGUGUAUCAUACGUUAAGACUGAAAGGGGAAAAGGUCUCUUGACCUUGAAUGGGGCUAAAAUAAAUUACUAUAAUACAAAGACUUCAACUUUGGAGUGAAACAUGGGUGAGAGACUUUUAAUAGUUACUUUGAUCGUACAGGCAACUGCAAUUAACCUAUAUAUAUGGAGAUAAAAGCUUAUUGCCUGUGUGAAUGUCCAAGUCAAGAUGGAGAGUCUAUCGUAAGUACAGUACAAAAAUUGCCAACGAACUUAACGGAAUAACAUAAACUAAUAGAAUGCGAAGACUUAGAGGGAUAAAUUUAUGUUCCUACACUGAAUCCAUUUUUCCACAUCUCCAUUUUGUAGUCUUACAUGACAGUUGUCUUCUUGACACUAAAUCGGCCGACAUAAAUUAUUAUAAUACAAAGACAUAAAACUAUGGAGUGAAAAAUGGGUGAAAGACUUAAAAGUUUUUUAUUUGAGGGUUGAAAGACUUAAUAGUUAGUUUGAUCGUACAGGCUACUGCAAUUAACCUAUAUAUUAACCUUCAUAUCAUGGUUGUUACUUGCAUGCAGAGCAUUUGUUACUCAUGAAGAGUUUAACCUUGCUUGCUCCCUUACUCUUGUGUGUUACUUUACUAUGUUCUUCUCUUAAUGUUGCUUCUGAUUCUGCAGCAGCAGCAUUGGCAAUCCUCAAAUGGAAAGCCAGCCUUCAAAGCCAAAACCAUUCUGUUUUGCUUUCCUGGAAUACUUCCAACAACCCAAAUACCAAAACAAGUCCUUGUGCUUGGUUUGGAAUCCAUUGCAACCAUGCUGACAGUGUUACAAAGAUUAACCUCACUGGCUAUGGUGUAAAAGGUACGCUCCAUUUAUUCCCAUUCUUGUCUUUGCCUAAUCUUGCAGAGUUGGACCUUAGCACCAAUGAACUUUAUGGCAUAAUCCCACCUAAAAUCAGUCAGCUCUCCAAACUCACCUACCUCGAUUUAUCCUUUAACCAGAUCUCUGGCCAAAUCCCACCUGAAAUUAGCCACCUUGUACAUCGUCAGACCCUCCACCUUGCUGGAAAUCAGUUGAACGGCUCAAUUCCUCGAGAAAUUGGUCAGCUCAAAUUUCUCACUGACCUUGCCUUGUGUAGCAACAAGCUAAAUGGUUGCAUUCCUGCUUCUCUCGGUAAACUAAGUCGACUUGUUUCCUUGCUUCUCUAUAAUAAUUCCCUUUCUGGUCCCAUUCCUCCAGAAUUGGGAAACCUUAGGAAUUUAGUUGAAGUUUACCUGGACACCAACCGUCUAACUGGUCCCAUCACUUCCACAUUUGGAAACUUGAAAAAACUGACGGUGCUUCAGAUGUUUAACAAUAGUCUUUCAGGUCCCAUCCCCUUUGAGUUAGGGAAUAUGGAAUCUCUUUCUGAAAUAAGCCUUUAUCACAACAAUCUAUCUGGCUUGAUCCCAACCUCAUUUGGUGGCUUGAGACUUCUUACACUUGCCCACCUCUAUGAAAAUCAACUCUCUGGUCCAAUUCCUGAGGAGAUAGGAAACUUGAAUUCUCUUGUUGACCUGGAGUUGAGUGAAAACCAACUCAACGGCUCUAUUCCUGCUUCACUUGGCAAUUUGAGCAACUUGGAAAUUCUGUUCCUCCGAGACAACCGGGUCUCAGGUUCCAUUCCUAAUGAAAUUGGAAACUUGAUGAAGUUGACCGUGUUAGAACUAGACCACAACAAUCUGACAGGAAAUUUGCCACAAGGCAUUUGCCGUGGUGGAUCACUUGAAUACUUCACAGCAAAUGACAACCAGCUUACCAGACCAAUCCCUCAAGGGUUGAAAAUUUGCACUAGCUUGAAGAGAGUCUACCUUGAAAGAAACCGACUCAGAGGAAAUAUAUCUGAAGAUUUAAGCGUUUACCCGAAUCUGAAGAUUUAAGUGAGAACGAAUUUUAUGGUGAAGUGUCUUCCAAUUGGGGGUUGUGCAAAAGUUUAGAGAUCCUAUCUAUUUCAAGGAACAAUCUCAGUGGUGCAAUACUCCUGGAACUAGGACUUAUGUCCAAGCUUUUGUAUCUAGACUUGUCUGCAAACCAAUUGAGCAAGUCCUUCCCUGAAACUAUAGGGAAUCUGUCCAUGUCAUUCUACUUGAAUUUGAGCAUCAAUCAGUUUAGCCAAAAUAUUCCAAUUCAAGUAGGCAAGUUAACUAGGCUGUUUCAUCUAGAUUUGAGUCACAACAUGCUUUCAGGGGAGAUUCCCGGGGAACUUCAAAGUUUGCAGAGCUUGGAGACGCUAAACCUUUCUCACAACAAUCUCUCUGGUGAAAUCCCAGCCUCUUUUGAGCAUCUCCGGGGCUUGUACACUGUUGACAUUUCAUACAAUGAGCUCCAGGGUCCCAUUCCCAACAGCCAAGCAUUUCUAAAUGCUUCAGUACAAGAAUUGAGAGGGAACAAAGCAUUGUGUGGCAAUGCUAGUGGACUACCGCCUUGCACACCUUUUUUCUAAGAAGGGUCACAACAACAACAAAACCCUUUUCGUAGUUAUGUUCCGUCUUUCGGACAAGGUAGUUUCCAAAGGGAUCCAUCAUAGCUCCAAUUCUGACGACCUUAACCUCGUNNNNNNNNNNNNNNNNNNNNNNNNNNNNNNNNNNNNNNNNNNNNNNNNNNNNNNNNNNNNNNNNNNNNNNNNNNNNNNNNNNNNNNNNNNNNNNNNNNNNAUCCAAGCAGCUUCCUUCAUCAAAUAUCCUUCGUUGGAAGCGACAACCUUUCUGGUCCUUAGCCAUGUAAUAUAUACAACCUUGAAACUCAACUGAGGAAUAUGGACUUGGCAUCAGUAUCACAUUUUCUCCAUGUCUUUUAUCAAGUUUAGAGUUUUUCUCUUGCAGGUUUUGCAAUCCAAACUCCUUGAGAGUCUUUUUCUUACAACAUUUGAACGAAUCAAAGCCCUUGUUCUCGAUAUCAUAUUUCAAACCUCUUCCUUGAAUGAUAACACUAUGAUCCUCCAUUACAUUCUCCUCAAGAGGAAUCUUACUGUGCAAGAACCCAGGAGAACUCAAUGAAUCAAUGGCAGCUCUUCCUCCAUUACCAUCAAUUCCACAUUGCUGGGAACAAACAAAAGGGUUACCAAUGUAGGGCCUAGUGGUAAAAGCACCCUGCAGCAACAUCCCCCUAUUAUCCAAUCCCCUACUCUGUUCCAUUCUCUGCUCCAAAAGAUAGUUUCUUUGGUUAUCAUGCCAACUCGGUACUGAAGACAAAUCAUUGGACUGAUUGUAACCAAUACUAUAAGACCCAAAUGAAUCACCCUUUUCGUAUCCAGUACCUUGCAGCCCAAGAAAGGUGGAGUCUAAACACAUCGAAACGUGUUGUGGAGAUGAUUGAAACCCUUUGUUAAAACCAUCGUAAGAACCAUAUUUUUCAGCGUGAUAAGACGAGACAUCACCAAAAUUGAAGGCGAAACCAUCUGGGUCCCUUUCAAAUUUCAUGGAAUCCAUGGGCUGUUAUAAAAAUUCAAACCUCGUAAUGGGUUUUAUUUGAAGGGCAAGAGAGACGGCCUUAAGAAAACUGAAUAAAGUGCAAAAUCACAAUACUAUAUACUUUUAACAUUGUCAAUAUUUCGGUAUCCAAAAAGAAAGCAUCCAAUUACAUCAACAACUUCAAAGUUUUAACCAAAAUAAUUGACGGCAUCUUCAAAGUCUCUCUUCACCAUCAACAUGGGGCUUAACACAACUCCAUGCACCAACACGUUCCAGUUGGGGCCUAAAAGGGAGGGAAAAAAAUCUAAGAUUAGGAAUAUAAUUUUAUAUCAUUGCAGCGAAAAUUACAGGCUUAGGGGACAAAAACCAAAAAAGGCCCCUACACUUUUCCAAAAAAAAUCAAUUGAACCCCUAGACGUUAGAAUUAUAAUAAAUUAAGCCCUUUUAUCAUUAAAGUUAUCCCUCAAAGUUACAAAGCCAAAAGUGCCAUUUUUUUGCUGGUUGUUUUCACCACAUGGCAAAAACUAGUAUUUGAUGUAUAAAACAUUAAAAAAAAUCAACAAACAUUUAUAAAAAGUCAUAGAAAAUCGUAAACAUAAUGUAUCCUCAAUAGUACUAACAAAAUUUAAAUUCAAUUAUAAACAUAAUAAAAUUGAAUAAACAAAUAAGUAAGAAGAUUAAAUAUAUUAUUAACAUGCAUGAAAUUAAUUACUAUUAACAAGCAUGAAAUUAAAUCUUUAACAUAGUCUAAUUUCUAGCGACUUGUUUUAAGAAUUCGAAUUUCUCGAUUUCAAUUGAAGUAAUUUGCUUCAAUUUGAUCCUUGAUUUCAAUUCUAAUCUCACCUAAGCUAAUCCGAAGUUCUAGUUACUACUCUCUAACCCGUAUUUCUCUUACCCGGAUUUUCUAAACUCGUAUUUUUUGUUCUUCCUCUUAAUCACGUGAUUCUUUUUAUUCUUUUCUUUUUCCUACUUUUAGUCCCGACUUUGAGGUGUGACAGUUUCUAAAUAUAUUUAAAGAGAAAACCAACUUGCUUACCUUUCAUGGAUUUUCAGAAAUAAUUGAUUUCGAAAAAAUUGGGUACCUAUAUCAAAACAUUAAAAUAACAAUAUUCAUUUAAUAUGAAUUAAAAAACAAUUUUACAAUGAUAAUACAAUUUUUCUAUAUUCCUUACCUGAUAUUUUUUCCUUUUGCAUAAAAGAUUAAACCUUCAAAUAGAUGAAGAUACAGCUCUGGCAGUAGCAUGCUCAACUCGUUCUCAAUGUUAAUGAUGCUAAUCUAUAAAAUAAACAAUUUAAGCAAAAGUUAAUAACAAAAGUAAAUAGAAUAUCAUAAUAAAAAAUAUUGAAAUCUUACUUUUCGUGCUGUAUUAUCGUUGUAAUGACGGUAAACAUUAGAGCAGUACCGUACUACAGAGGCAUGGUAAUUGCUUGAUUGACGAAAAUCUUGAUGCUCGAGUAUAGAAUUAAGCACCGGAUGCUGACUCACCACCAACACCCAAUCAUAUGAAUAUUUUUUUCUCAAGCGAUCUAGGCAACCGUCAAAAAGUGACACACUAAUCUCUCCACGCUUCAUGAUGUGAUCCAGAUUGAUAAUAAAAUGGAACUUAUCAACAGGUCUCCAAAAUAAAGGCGCAUCCAGUAGAAACGCGGGACUCAUGAAUUUUCUAUCCAUUUGAACAUAGGCAAAUAGGUAAACAAAAAAAUUAUGAAAUUAAUGAAGUAGAACAUAUGAGUUAUCGAACUUUAAAAUAAAUAUAUGAAAGAUAACUUACAAGUUUCGAAAAUUGAGCUGGGUAAGAAAACAUAAUAGUUCAUUCGGCAUAUUGAAUUUCUGAUAAUUCUGGAUAACAGAUCCGAAUGGCAUAUUGACGAUGUAGUUCAUCAAAUAUUUUAACUGAUCAAUAUCACCUUCCAUUGGUUGAUCAGAUGCAUUUAAAUUGGGUAAAAACUUUACCCUCCCACUGAAAUUAGUGAUGAAUAUAGACUUUACCGGAUCUUGCGUAUGAAUGCUCUUAUUACUUUUAGCCCAUAUACAAGCCACAUCCCUUAAGAUCUUACCGAAAUCCUCACUAAUAUAAUUGAACCAUUCAGGCUCAUUUCGGUUACUACUUUCCCACCUCGCCAUCCUUUCUCUAAAAUAUGUUACAAUAUUUUUAGAAUAUUCUAAUGCAACCAGCCAUUCAUCUUGAUACCGUACAAGAUGAUGGCAGCAUAAAAUCCAAUCAUCUUGAUGCUCCACUAAAUGUGUGUAUAGUUCCAAAGCUUUCUCUUCAUCUUUAAACGCCAAGAAAGUGGAGUUAAUUUCUUUUCCCGAAAUCUUUAGCAUUCCAUAAUACACACUGCCAUCCUGGUCUAUAAUAGCACAAUCUGGUUCCGACAUAGCUGUUGCAAACCAAAAAUAAAACUUAAACUAACAAUUCACAUGUAUACAGUACACAUAUAUACAGUUCACAGAACACAAUUCUAGCAGUAAAGCACACACGGUUCACUAAACACUAAUUUAGAAGUUCACACAUAGACACAAUUCGGUCGGUUAACCGAAUUAACCGAAAAUUAUAUGUUUUUUAUUUUUGGUUAAAAAUUAAAAACGACUGAAUCAUGAAUAUGAGUGUUUGAUAAACAUCGGCAUCAACUAAGCGGUAAAUCAGCUUUUUUCUAGCUAACAGCUUCUCUAUCCUUCAUCUUCAUCAUAUCCAUAUGGUUUCUAAGGGUCCCAUUUUGGAGCUGCAUGAUUAUGACUUACAGUGCUAUUUGUCAUUUCUUGCCCUUCCCACAUGCACACGCAAUACUUGAAAGAACAAAAUUAUAUGAACGAAAUAAAAAAAAAAGAAGCAGAGGGAAAGUAACAAGGAAAAACAAAUGACCAAAAUGAAAUCUAUACAGAUUUUGCUUUCGCUUUGGGGUUCCCUUGGACCCUAACACUUCAAACCAUGUUAAAUUGACAGCAAGGAGAGUGGCAGACCAGAGGUUUGCCGUGCUUGACCUGCUCCCAUCUCAAGACCCCACAACUAGAAUUGGUCCUCUAAUCUAUUGACUUAUCCCUUAAAACAAGUCCAAUAUUCACAUAUUACCUAGAAUUGAAGUGAAUAUCGAAUAACAGUCUGUGUUCAACACCAAUAUAUUCAAUUUUCUGAGCGACCUUACUCAGGGAAAAAAAUAGGUUGAUCAAAUUUCUUAUGUAUAAACCAACCAUUUGCACAUUAUCUCAAAAUAAUUGCUUGUUUAUGUGUCUGUAUAUAUAUAUAAUAUGUAUGUAUGUAUAAUGUUCACUCUCCUAAGAAACUUUGUAAAAACCCACCUAAAUCAAAACAGAAACUCCUAUUUGGUUCAUCCAACCGCAGGUUUUCCCCAUUUUUAAUUAAUAAGAAAAUGCAUUUUCUUGUUUUAAUUCCUGUUUUUUCCCUGCAUUUUCUAGGAAUAAAUCAAAGAUAAAAGAGUUCAUAAACACAUAAAUCAUUGAAUAGAACUAUAAUAAAUCAAAUAAAAAAGAUUCAAGACAAAUCAACCUUAUCCCAAACUGAAUUUAACCUGAAAAUCCAAACAACCACAAAGCCAUACAAAUCUUCAAGUUUGAGUAACCAACAAAGAAUAGAGAAACCCCCAAAUCAAUACCAAAUCCAUAACUACGUGUUAUUCACUUUGCAAUAUGAACUCAUAACAUCUUCAGUAUAUCAAUCUAAGGUUUAAGUAAAGCAAAAGUUUUUAUCAUUUUCUGAAUUACUAAAAGAUAAAAGCAUCUGUGACUCCUACAAUUUCACCACCAAACACAGCAUUAACUCCUCAUAAAUGAUAGAUCUAUACGACAUAAAAGAAACAUUUACAUACACAGCUUUUUCUCUAUGAAUAAGGAAAGAAACAAGAAAACUGAAGCUGAUCUUAAAACAUACAUCAAUAUUCUGCAUCUUUGAAACAAGAUUCCAUUUUCCAGAGUCUCGUUUACCAAUCCAAGAAGUUACUACAACAGAAAAAAGAACAGCCGGAUUUUUUAUUUCUUUCAAAGGUUGAGUGAAGCAAAGAAAGAAAGAAGUUUUUUUUGAGAAACGAUACUCUUCAACACGAGAAAACGAAGCAAUAUCCGGAAAAAGACAUCAAACAUCCGGAGAUUAGGAAAACAAAAAUUCUCUGCAAAGAAAUUCUACGUUAUAAGAACAUGGAUAUAAAUUAUGGCGGCGGAUGGUUUUCCAAUCAUGUCACAUUCAAUAAACACACAUUGAAGAAAUUAGAAAAAAAAACGAAAUUUAAAUUAGAAGAAAGCAAACCUUGGUAUAGGUAUUGGUGUGGUGGAAGAGAAAUGGACAGCAAAAAGGUGUGAAAGUGGGUUUUCCCGAUUCAACUGAGAUUGAGAUACGAUUAAGUGGAAAGUCGGCUGCUGAGAAAAAAUUCGGUUGUUACAAUUUAGAUUACAAAAGCAUGUAACUUCAGGAAAACAAAAAUUCUCUGGAAAGAAAUUCUACGUUAUAAGAACUAGAACUAGAGAUUCAAUAAACACACAUUGAAGAAAUUGGAAAAAGAAAAACGAAAGCGAAUUUAGGAGAAAGCAAACCUCGGUCUGGUGGAAGAGAAAUGGACAGCAAAAAGGUGUGAAAAUGGUGGGUUUUACCGAUUCGACUGAGAUUGAGAUACGAAGGAAAAGAAACGACAGAAGGGAAAUCCUAGCAACAAAAAGAAAACAAACGUGAAAGCCAAGAUGGAGAAAGCGGGAAAAAAAAUAGGGAAGUGAGUAAAGAGUGGAACUACAAAAAUAAUUUUAUUUUUUUAUUUUUAUUAUUCUUAUCCUCUUAUAAAAAAUAAAUUCUAAAACAAUUUAAUUAAUAUCCAAUUAUCAAAAACCCUCCAAAGGUUUAACAUAUAUUUUAAGGAGUUAAAAUUGUAAAUAAAAAAUACUUAAAAAGAGAAAGAAAAAUUCCACAUUGUUCACACCUAAACUCAAACUCUAAACCAAAGGUUAAGCUACCAAAGACCUAGCCACUAACGCAGAUGUUUCAUUUUAGUAUUAAAACGCAAAAAUUAACUUAACAGUCCCACCUAACCGCUAAUCCAACCAACUAACCUGAAUAAUUCUAACCAAAUUCCGGGGCGUUACAUAGGUCAUGUAACUCACUAACUUGCACCCUAAGAAAAUUAUCAGAUGAUACACGACCGUGUUACUAGGUCAUAUAUUUCAAUCCUAAUCUCAUUGACUUAAUGUGCAAAAAUUUAGACUUAAAAAUUUGGUUUGGUUAAAAAAAAUAAGCCCAUUUAAAAAUGAGUUGAGCCUCAAGGAAGUUUUUUCGACCAAAACCUGACCCGACCUAAAUUUGCAAAAAAAAAUUAUUUGUUACUUUGUCACUGUUUUGCUAUCAUUCCACUAUUAUAUUACUAUGUAUUAUUGUUUGGAUAUUGUAUUAGUCUUGUUUUAUUGAUAAUUUUGUUACUAUUUUAUUUUUAGAGGCACUUAUCUCAGUGCUAUUUAAGUAUAAAUACUUCUUUUUAAUUUACUUUCAAUUUGUUGAUAAACAUUGAUUUUAAUUUUUAAUAUGUUUGAUUUAUUAUAUUUUUAAAAUUUAUUUAUAUAUAUAAUAAUACGGGCGGAUCGAGCCAGGCUCGAGUUUUAACUUUUUUUAUCCAGAUCAAGUUUGAACAAAAAUUUAGGCCUAUUUUUGAUAUCAGGUCGAGCUGGGCUGGGCUUAUAAAACAGGUCUGAAAUUUUGUUACAACCUGUCCCAUAAUCACCUCUAGUGCAGAUCAAGUCAAACUCGAAUUCUUUCAAACUUAUUUGAGUUAAAUUUGGGUAGAAAAGUAACGUUACGCUUUGAGUAAAGUCAAGUUCAGUCAAAUAACAUGCUUUAUUUUAUUUAAACUCGACCCACGAAUAAAUCUAAUGUUUCAAGAUUGGAGUGAAAUGGUUGAAUGUAGAGGUGAGCAAAAUUCGAUUCGACUCGAAAAACUCGAUAAAAAAUUUAAAUUUUAAGUUAAACAAUUCAAGUUAAUCGAGUUAUUCAUAUCAACUCGAAUAAAAAUAUCAAAUUUUUUGGUUUAACUCGAAUGUGAAUUAUACAAUUCGAGUUAUUCGAAAAUCAAACUAAGAAAAUACAAAAUUACGUCGUUUUGAUAAAUGUUUAUAUUUUCUAAGCUAAAAGUCAAAACAAUUAAGUUAAAAGGCAAAACUAUUUCGUUUUGAUAAAUGUUUACCUAUUAAGUCAAAAGGCAAAAUCAUUAUACUGUUUAUAUAGUUAAAUAAUCCUAUACUUUGUCUAUUAGUUAAAUAAUUGGUCCAUAUAAACAUAACAUUGAGCAUAGAUAAUAGGAUUUGUUAACUAGACUCGACUUGACUCGAAAUUUUUUUACUCGACUCGACUGAAUACUCACCCCUAGUUGAAUGAACUCUAAUAAAAUGCAAUAGAAGUUUAUGCCUAAUAAAAUUAAAUUUGUUAGUUUGGUAUCCUAUAGACUCCAAUUGAAAUUGCUUUUAAAAGAAAAUGUUUUAAAAUUGUUGAGGCACUUGUAAGAGAAACUACACCAAGUAUUUACAGUCAUGUUGAUAACUGCCCAAUGUUUUAUACUUUGUCGUAUUUGAAGUUAGCAAUUUUUUGAAACAAUAUAGUUGGCGGAUGAAUUAGUUGGUAUUAUGGACAUGUAUUAGUCCGUAUUUAAAGAUUGAUAUUAUGAAGAAACAAAAUUUUAAAGUUUAGAUUUAUUUAAAUCAAGCAAAUUGGAUCUAUUGUUUCGUGGAGAUUGAUUUGAAUGGCUUCAAAACAUAUCUUAGAGAUUUUUUAUUUAAAUCGACCAAAUAAUAUUUUUUAUAACACUUAAUUAAAUCAAACCUUGUAAACAAGUAAAACAAGAUGUUGCAAGAAGACAGAAAGGAAGACUAAAAGGAACAAGUGCAAAAUAAAAGCUUUAUCUACUUAGUAUAUAUAUAUAUCAAUUGAGUCUUAAUUCAAUUAGUAUAAAUAUUGUUGCUAAUGUGAGAGAACGCCGGUUCAAAUACACUAAAAUAUAUUAUCCUUCUAUUUAUAAAUUGAAAAAGUUAUUAAGUAAUUUUAAAAAUUGUGUCAAACAUAACAGAUAUGAUCAAAACUUCUAAUGAAAUUGUUCAAAAAUAUAAUAUAUAUUGCUAACAAUUUCUCUACGAAGGUAGUUACAAGAGUAAUAACAUAAAUAAUAUUUAUAAUUGCAAAAUAACCCAUUAAUUCCAUUUCUUUCUCAAUUAUUUGAAUUUUGAUAACUUGAAGACAAAAUUUAAUAAAAAAUAUUUUCUACAUUCUAUUUUAAUAUUUAACAAUAAUAAGUUAAUUAAUAUAAUAUUAAAAUUCAAUAAAAAUGACUAUUUUAUAAAAAUAAACUUAUCUUUUCUUUUAUGAUAGAUGUAUUUUUAUAGUUAAAUAAGCUUCAAACUUAUAAAUUUUAUUGAUGAAAGUCCUCCAUUCUAAUAUUAAAAUAAAAAUAUUUAAAUAAAUUUGCAUUUUAAUGCCUACGUGAAUUUGAUAAAAAUGAUUUAUUAAACAAAAAUAAAAUAACAUUUUUUAAAAGUAAAACAAAAUAAUAUUUAAAAAAAUUAAAGUGGUUAUAUACAUAAGAAAGGAAACAACUUACCUACUAAAACAAUGCACAUAAUUAAAUUUAUUCAAUUAGAAUAACUUGUUUAAAGGAAUCCAAUCAAACAACAUAUUAUUCACCAUGAAGGUUUAAUUUAAUUUUCAAAUACAAAUAUGAUGAACAAGAAAAAGACUUAAUAUUUAACUUGAAUUUUUAUUUAAUUUAAAAAUAAAAGUAAUUAAUUAUUAAAAAUAAAAAAGCAAACCACGUAAUGGGUGAUAUUAUUAGUUAUUUGAUUAUAUAUACAAAGGCUCAAUUCCUCGAGAAAUUGGUCAGCUCAAAUUUCUCACUGACCUUGCCUUGUGUAGCAACAAGCUAAAUGGUUGCAUUCCUGCUUCUCUCGGUAAACUAAGUCGACUUGUUUCCUUGCUUCUCUAUAAUAAUUCCCUUUCUGGUCCCAUUCCUCCAGAAUUGGGAAACCUUAGGAAUUUAGUUGAAGUUUACCUGGACACCAUCCAUCUAACUGGUCCCAUCACUUCCAUAUUUGGAAACUUGAAAAAACUGACGGUGCUUCAGAUGUUUAACAAUAGUCUUUCAGGUCCCAUCCCCUUUGAGUUAGGGAAUAUGGAAUCUCUUUCUGAAAUAAGCCUUUAUCACAACAAUCUAUCUGGCUUGAUCCCAACCUCAUUUGGUGGCUUGAGACUUCUUACACUUGCCCACCUCUAUGAAAAUCAACUCUCUGGUCCAAUUCCUGAGGAGAUAGGAAACUUGAAUUCUCUUGUUGACCUGGAGUUGAGUGAAAACCAACUCAAUGGCUCUAUUCCUGCUUCACUUGGCAAUUUGAGCAACUUGGAAAUUCUGUUCCUCCGAGACAACCGGGUCUCAGGUUCCAUUCCUACUGAAAUUGGAAACUUGAUAAAGUUGACCGUGUUAGAACUAGACCACAACAAUCUGACAGGAAAUUUGCCACAAGGCAUUUGCCGUGGUGGAUCACUUGAAUACUUCACAGCAAAUGACAACCAGCUUACCAGACCAAUCCCUCAAGGGUUGAAAAUUUGCACUAGCUUGAAGAGAGUCUACCUUGAAAGAAACCGACUCAGAGGAAAUAUAUUUGAAGAUUUAAGCGUUUACCCGAAUCUGAAGAUUUAAGUGAGAAGGAAUUCUAUGGUGAAGUGUCUUCCAAUUGGGGGUUGUGCAAAAGUUUAGAGAUCCUAUCUAUUUCAAGGAACAAUCUCAGUGGUGCAAUACUCCUGGAACUAGGACUUAUGUCCAAGCUUUUGUAUCUAGACUUGUCUGCAAACCAAUUGAGCAAGUCCUUCCCUGAAACUAUAGGGAAUCUGUCCAUGUCAUUCUACUUGAAUUUGAGCAUCAAUCAGUUUAGCCAAAAUAUUCCAAUUCAAGUAGGCAAGUUAACUAGGCUGUUUCAUCUAGAUUUGAGUCACAACAUGCUUUCAGGGGAGAUUCCCGGGGAACUUCAAAGUUUGCAGAGCUUGGAGACGCUAAACCUUUCUCACAACAAUCUCUCUGGUGAAAUCCCAGCCUCUUUUGAGCAUCUCCGGGGCUUGUACACUGUUGACAUUUCAUACAAUGAGCUCCAGGGUCCCAUUCCCAACAGCCAAGCAUUUCUAAAUGCUUCAGUACAAGAAUUGAGAGGGAACAAAGCAUUGUGUGGCAAUGCUAGUGGACUACCGCCUUGCACACCUUUUUUCUAAGAAGGGUCACAACAACAACAAAACCCUUUUCGUAGUUAUGUUCCGUCUUUCGGACAAGGUAGUUUCCAAAGGGAUCCAUCAUUAGUUCAACAAUGUUAUCAGUAACCUCGUUGAAUAUAAUUUGAACAUCCAAGCAGCUUCCUUCAUCAAAUAUCCUUCGUUGGAAGCGACAACCUUUCUGGUCCUUAGCCAUGUAAUAUAUACAACCUUGAAACUCAACUGAGGAAUAUGGACUUGGCAUCAGUAUCACAUUUUCUCCAUGUCUUUUAUCAAGUUUUAGAGUUUUUCUCUUGCAGGUUUUGCAAUCCAAACUCCUUGAGAGUCUUUUUCUUACAACAUUUGAACGAAUCAAAGCCCUUGUUCUCGAUAUCAUAUUUCAAACCUCUUCCUUGAAUGAUAACACUAUGAUCCUCCAUUACAUUCUCCUCAAGAGGAAUCUUACUGUGCAAGAACCCAGGAGAACUCAAUGAAUCAAUGGCAGCUCUUCCUCCAUUACCAUCAAUUCCACAUUGCUGGGAACAAACAAAAGGGUUACCAAUGUAGGGCCUAGUGGUAAAAGCACCCUGCAGCAACAUCCCCCUAUUAUCCAAUCCCCUACUCUGUUCCAUUCUCUGCUCCAAAAGAUAGUUUCUUUGGUUAUCAUGCCAACUCGGUACUGAAGACAAAUCAUUGGACUGAUUGUAACCAAUACUAUAAGACCCAAAUGAAUCACCCUUUUCGUAUCCAGUACCUUGCAGCCCAAGAAAGGUGGAGCUGAAGACAUCACCACCAUCUAAACACAUCGAAACGUGUUGUGGAGAUGAUUGAAACCCUUUGUUAAAACCAUCGUAAGAACCAUAUUUUUCAGCGUGAUAAGACGAGACAUCACCAAAACUGAAGGCAAAACCAUCUGGGUCCCUUUCAAAUUUCAUGGAAUCCAUGGGCUGUUAUAAAAAUUCAAAACUCGUAAUGGGUGUUAUUUGAAGGGCAAGAGAGACGGCCUUAAGAAAACUGAAUAAAGUGCAAAAUCACAAUACUAUAUACUUUUAACAUUGUCAAUAUUUUGGUAUCCAAAAAGAAAGCAUCCAAUUACAUCAACAACUUCAAAGUUUUAACCAAAAUAAUUGACGGCAUCUUCAAAGUCUCUCUUCACCAUUAACAUGGGGCUUGACUCAACUCCAUGCACCAACACGUUCCAGCUGAGGCCUAAAAGGGAGGGAAAAAAAUCUGAGAUUAGGAAUAUAAUUUUAUAUCAUUGCAGCGAAAAUUGCAGGCUUAGGGGACAAAAACCAAAAAAGUCCCCUACACUAUUCCAAAAAAAAUGAAUUGAACCCCUACACAUUAGAAUUAUAAUAAAUUAAGCCCUUUUAUCAUUAAAGUUAUCCCUCAAAGUUACAAAAACAAAAGUGCCAUUUUUUUGCUGGUUGUUUUCACCACAUGGCAAAAACUAGUAUUUAAGGUAUAAAACAUUAAAAAAUCAACAAACAUUUAUAAAAAGUCAUAGAAAAUCGUAAAAUAUUGUUUUAAAAUUUUCUAUUUAUUUUAUAUAUAAAAUGCAUGCUUUCACCACAUGGCCACGUGCCAAAGACAGCCUCAAGAAAACCGGCACCCUUGGCUUUGUAACAUUGACCGUUAACUUUAACGGUCAAAGGGCUUGACUGAUUGAUUAUAAUUCAGAUGUUCAAGGGCUCAAUUGAGUGAAAACGAAAAAGUUCAGGGAGCUUAAUUGAUUUUUUGAAAAAGUUUGGGGCGCUUUUCUUUACCCUUUAGCCAAAAUUAAAGUAUAUUUGAUUGAUAUAUAAUAUAAUUAUUCUGAUCCAUAAAAAUAAUAAUUAAAAAUAUAUACACACAUAUCCAUCACCAGACCACAUCAACAGGCACCAAAUGAGCCCUAAAAAUCAAUAUUGUUAACAAUAAUAAAAGCUUCCAUGACCUUUAACAGCAAUGAAAAAUGAGUAAGAUUAUUAUUAUUAUUAUUAUUAUUAUUAUUAUUAUUAUUAUAACUCACAACUACCAACAAAACAAACACAUCGGAGAAACGAUCUCCAUAAUCUAUUAAUGGUUUUUCAGAUAUACAUCUGCAGUCUGCAGCAUUCAUCUUCAUAUGUAAUUCAUUCGAUUUUCAUUUUUGACUUCUUACGUGUUGGAGCUUCAUCAGUCAAGCACGCAAGAACAAAAUCAAAGAAACGAGGAAAAAACAAUACAGAUAUAAUUAUCACUCCCAAACCUUCUUACUUUCCAAGAAAACAUACGAUUCAUAUGUAUACAAAACCGGAAAUAGGAUGGCAAAAUAUUUAACAAGAAUUUCCAAAUAAACAUUUUUGUCCCCUACUAAUUACUUUUUCUCUACUUCAAAUUUUCUAGUUGUAGGACUAAGUAAUUCCCAUUUAUUAGAGUUAUAUUCUUAAGUAAUAUUUUGUCCACUCUCUUACCGAUUUCAACAAGCUAAUAGCUCACUUAGUAAUAACAUUCACUAUCUCAAAUCAAAUUCAUUGAAUAAAUCUAUCCUCACUUAGUAAUAGUUAUAUUUUCUGCACUUUCAUCUUGCUUCUUAUCAUAUGCAUGUUGCAAAAAUUUCUGUUCAGUAAGAUGAGGAAACCUUGUAAACCAGUAAAAUAAGAUGUUGCAGGAAGACAGAAAGGAAGACUAAAAGGAACAAGUGCAGUGAUGAAGGUUGUACGUUCCCGAGGCCAGUUAAAUCAUGAUGAUCGUACCAAUCGUACAGAAUUUCUUGAGAGCCAAAACUUCAUCUCUGGGACAACUGUAUAGCCUCUUUGAGUGAUGUUAAACGGGCUGGGAAUUUAUUAGGAAAGCACUACUAUGAAAGUAACACCAAUCAUGCGUAGUGGGAGAGACGUAGGUUAUCAAAAGUAAUUGGGGGGAUGGAAGUCAAGUAGAAGUUACAACCUAAGUAACAGUUUGGUCAUAGGUAGGCCUGCUCACAAGUCCAGCCUAGACAGGAUACUAACACCUUUCACGUUUGGCGAGGCCCCUGACCCAGCACAAAAUAUUGGCAAUAUCAUUCUACUAGACCCAACCCUAAUUACCAAUAGGGAGCCAUGCUUGGCCCAACACAACCCACCCAAAUUCGUUUUCUAAUUUUAUUUAACUGGCAGUCAAGCUUUACUUUGUUUACUUAUUGUUCAAGGUUAUCAUAGUCCUUAUUAAUAUUGGCAUUUUUACGUGUGGCAUCCAUAACCGACAAAAGGACAUCAUUUUACUAAAUCUUCCCUUGCCUAUAGGUAAUGACCUCGCUCUGAUAUUUUAAGCAGGAACAUUGUCAUAGUCUACCAACUUCUUAAGUAGGAAUUUAAGCCUUUGUUUAGAUCAGGAUAUUUUAUUUUCUUUUUGGAACAAAAAACUAGAAGCAACUAUUGGGGGUAAGGCAAGACAGAACUUGAGUUCUAGUUCUCUAAAGUUGCUAGGAGCCUCGUGCCCAUUUAAAACAACAAAUAGAGCACGGCGCAUAGUCCUAAUAAAACUGAGUCUUGGAAAAAGUCCAAAGGAAGACAUUUUCACACAAUGCAAAUCUGCCGCCUAAUUCGUCUACUCCAUACCUUAGCAUUACUCAAGUUUUAUACAGGAAGUUCCAGGCUCACUAUCAACUUCUUAGUGACAACAAGAGCAAACAAAAUGCAAUGACAAGCAGUAUUGGCAAACGAAAACUCCGUCAAUUUACAAGGAU